UACGUAGGGGGCGAGCGUUGUCCGAAGUUACUGGGCGUAAAGCGCGCGUAGGCGGUCUUUUAAGUCUGGUGUGAAAGGUUCAGGGCUCAACCCGAACAGUGCACUGGAUACUGGGAGACUUUGAGUAUGGGAGAGGAGAGCGGAAUUCCUGGUGUAGCGGUGAAAUGCGCAGAUAUCAGGAGGAACACCGGUGGCGAAGGCGGGUCUCUGGGCCGAUACUGACGCUGAGGAGCGAAAGCGUGGGGAGCGAACAGG
This 255-nucleotide ribosomal RNA is filed under the name uncultured bacterium. Its description in RNAcentral is "partial 16S ribosomal RNA". It matches the Rfam family "Bacterial small subunit ribosomal RNA", at positions 524 to 776 of the family's 1533-position model. The record is from RNAcentral.